UACGAGGGGUGCAAGCGUUAUUCGGAAUUACUGGGCGUAAAGGGUGUGUAGACGGCUUGUUAAGUCUACUGUUAAAGACCCCGGCUUAACCGGGGAAAAGCAGUGGAAACUGGCAAACUUGAGGGUGGAAGAGAGAAGUGGAAUUCUCGGAGUAGCGGUAAAAUGCGUAGAUCUCGAGAGGAACACCGAUGGCGAAGGCAGCUUCUUGGUCCAUUCCUGACGUUGAAACACGAAAGCGUGGGUAGCAAACAGG
Molecule: ribosomal RNA, 253 nt
Filed under: uncultured bacterium
Lineage: Bacteria
Description: partial 16S ribosomal RNA
Rfam family: Bacterial small subunit ribosomal RNA
Source: RNAcentral